Dromaius novaehollandiae (emu) is the source of this 3210-nucleotide long non-coding RNA. The record is from Ensembl. NCBI's taxonomy places the organism in Eukaryota, Metazoa, Chordata, Aves, Casuariiformes, Dromaiidae.
CUGUUUAUUGUCAAAUGACCAGCCAUUUUUCACUUGGCAGCUCUAACUGCGGUGAACAAGACUGGUGGCACCAGGAGCACCACCACUCACCAGCCUCUGGCAGGAGGAGGCCAGCCUCCAAAUCCCAGAGGCUAAGAAGAUCUAAAGUGAGUUUAAGGAAACUCCUGUUGGGACAGACAUUUACAGACCCGACAAUGACAGAGAGAGAUCCCCUGGCAUCAGUGUGUGCAUUGAGGAUGACGUUUUAACAGAGGAUGCACUGCUCAUCUUGUCCGUUGACUGCCUCAAGGAGCUUUAUCACCAUGAGCAGAUCUGUAGCUGUAGCACAUGACACCCCUUCUUGCCUCUUGUAUUCUCCACAGAAGAUGCAGCCUCCUGUAACUGGCUGUAGUUGUCAAGCAGUGGGGGGUGUGGACUGUUGAUGGUUGUUUCGAGAUGGUGGGGUGGGAGAUGGAAUGGAAAUAGCUCAGGCAGUGAGGACUGAAAAGUAAAGCAGCUUUUUGUGUGUGCAUCUUCUAUCUGAUCUGUUUAGUUCUGGCGGAUUCCUCUACCUGACACGUGGGUCUUUCUGUUCUGGUGCCUUCGGAGGGAUGAGUUUGUGAGUGCCAUCACCAGGCCUUCUGCCUGGUCCCUGUAUGGGUCAGAGCCAGGGCUACAAGCAGCUGCCCCUCACUAAUAGUUGCAGAACAGUCCAGUCAGUCAUAUAUUUUCAAAGUGGGGGGAACAAAUCAUUUGGGGGAUAAACCUCACAGGGGCUGCAGAAAAAAAUGACAGCAGGAAGCUUGUAAAGGACGAAGACGAUGACCAAUUAGUUUUGGAAGGUAACUGUCCUGGAGCCACCGGAUUGUUGGCAACUACCUUUUUGGAACAGUUUUUGAUAACUGGGAGAGGGAGUUUCUCAUUUUAAUUGAGACUAACCAUAUUCAGAGCAGUUGUCUGUGUCACCUAGUGUGUCCAUCUCUCUGCCUUUUCAGCUUGGCAGUCUCCUUUAUUUUUCCCCUGCAUGUUCUGGUGAUUUGAAAAAUGAUCCAUUCUUCAAAGCAUCCCUGGUAAUUUGGACCAGUGUUGUAUUUCUUCGGAGGUUGAUGCUUUUCAAAGCUGCAGCCUGUCUUUCUGCAGCAGCUAUUGCCACCUCUCUAUAACAUAUAGCCUUAACAGGGAGAAAACAGGUCUGAGGGGCUGCACUUUUCCUAGGUGCAAAGAAAUUUGAGAUGACACCACAAUCAACAGAAAACACUUAUUUUUUUCAGGUGGAGUACAGAUGAAGUGAGUAAUCAGACCUUUUAUGAAAUGAAGGAUUAUUAGGGAAUGGCAGCACUAAUUUCACUUUGUGAAGCACACUGGAGAUCUCUAAAUGCUGUUCCCAUUAUUGGUAUAUUGGUAUAUGUAUAUCUAUAUGUACACAUAUAUCAGUAAAUAUUUAUUAAAUAAGCAUGCAUGUAUGCAUUCUACUCCACACCAAAAGAGACUCCGCAAUUUUGUUUGUUAUCUUAGCAGUUAGUGGGUUCAAAAAAACCCCACAACCUUUUUAGCAAGACUUAAGAUCUGCAUGAGUUUAGUUUAGAUCUACUGAGUUAAGGGAAAUAUUGCAAUACUGAUUUAGGGCAAAAACUUAUGUUUUUAUUUUAAAAAAAAUCUUGCAAAUUCUGCUAUGAAAACAGCUAUAUUGUUUCAGGUGAAAAAUGAAUUUUUCCUCAAGCAUCCACCUCCUGUUUCCAAACAUUCCUUUGCAGUGGCCAUCACACUAUAGCCUUAAAUAAGGGGCAACAGGACCAGAAGCUGAAUGUAUUCAGCUUGAUUUUAUUGUCACCAAUAACAGAUACGCUGUAGGUGAGCAGCAUCUGGGGAACAAGGCAGUUAAAUGAAAUCAAAUCUUUUCAUGUUGACAACUAGAGGUGUUAAAGUGUGUGUAAAUGAGAGCAGGCAUUCUUCAAACUUACCUUGAUCAUAUGUUUGGCUUUGGCCCUGAUCCUGCAAGUGUUUAAGUACAUGCUUAACUCAAGGCACAUGUGUCACAUGUCUUUCAAAUCUGAUUCCCAUUGAAAAUGGGACAUGCRACACAUUGAAUGACAGCAUCAUCUUGUCCUUUCUGCAGGCCUCUACUUUAGUUUAAAUUUUACCUGAAGACUUUCAGACAUUCCAUCCCAGCAGCCACUGGAUUUCAGGUAAAAGCUGUAUGAAUAUUUGGSUGAACAGGGAAGGCAGUAUUCUGCAUAGAUUGCUAUAAAGUCAGAAAUACUCCAAGAUGCAGUGUGAUAUCUGUAUUAUAUAAUCAGCUGAAAUUCAGUCCUAAGCCCAGAUUUCUUACAUCUGUACCAUGGGGACUAAGCCAAGACUUAGAAUAGGUGUAAGGCAUGAUAGGGGAGAAAUUCAAGUCUGCACCUACCCUGAAUGUAGGUUUACCUGUCUGCUUACCUAUCUAUAGUGUGUAUGGCUCAGCCACUUGAAGUCUCCCAUUUGCUCUAACAAGUUAUGUAGCCAGCUCCACAGAGAUGAUUGUGGAUCUUUCCUGGGCCUUCAGCUCUAGUGUUGCCACCUGCAAAGAUGUAAGGUAGAACAGAUUGACUGUCAGCUUGGACUCCUGCUUCAGGCUGUCCCAACAACUCUGGGGCCAAGCCAUAGAUAGCAAGACAGACAUAGAGAGAGCCAGACUGGGACAGUACUAUUUGGCCCAAAUGCCUGUGGUAGGUACAGCACAUAUGUAGCUUGCCUGUAUGCAAGUAAGGGAAUGUUCUUUCUGGGCCUCUACUACCUCCUCCUCCUCCUUCCUCUAUCCACACAGCAACAUAGUGUACAGAUCAAUUAGAAAACAGCUGACUCUUUGUAGAGAGCGUAGUCUACAGAGUGCUUGCAAAUCUGGGUGACAUUCCAAGAUCUGCUGUGAGCCUGCUGGGGGACUUUCAGGGAGUGUUUUCCCCUCAGUUUCCACAUCUUGAGGAGUAAUACUGACCUUCUCUGAGAAGCACUUUGAGCUAUACUGAUGAAGUUUCCAGCACCAGCUCCCAUGGCUGUUGUCUCCAUCUUUUGCAGUGGAGUAGGCAGGGCUUAGGCAAUGCUGGCAYCAUAAGUUAGACCUGUGUUGAAUAACUAUUUUUAACCUAAUUUGUGUGCUGAGAGAGUAGUCUGAGCAAUGCUGACUUGUCUCUAGCAAUUAUGAUGAUUUAUUAAAAAAAAAUAUUGCUAAUAAAUGAAUGGACUGUGGUAAUGACA